AUUGAACGCUGGCGGCAGGCCUAACACAUGCAAGUCGAGCGGCAGCACGGGUACUUGUACCUGGUGGCGAGCGGCGGACGGGUGAGUAAUGCCUAGGAAUCUGCCUGGUAGUGGGGGAUAACGCUCGGAAACGGACGCUAAUACCGCAUNCGUCCUACGGGAGAAAGCAGGGGACCUUCGGGCCUUGCGCUAUCAGAUGAGCCUAGGUCGGAUUAGCUAGUUGGUGAGGUAAUGGCUCACCAAGGCGACGAUCCGUAACUGGUNUGAGAGGAUGAUCAGUCACACUGGAAAUGAGACACGGUCCAGACUCCUACGGGAGGCAGCAGUGGGGAAUAUUGGACAAUNGGAGAAAGCNUGAUCCANCCAUGCCGCGUGUGUGAAGAAGGUCUUCGGAUUGUAAAGCACUUUAAGUUGGGAGGAAGGGCAUUUACCUAAUACGUAAGUGUNNGACGUUACCGACAGAAUAAGCACCGGCU
This 476-nucleotide ribosomal RNA is filed under the name Pseudomonas sp. NN018596. Its description in RNAcentral is "bacterial SSU rRNA". It matches the Rfam family "Bacterial small subunit ribosomal RNA", at positions 30 to 498 of the family's 1533-position model. Lineage: Bacteria; Pseudomonadati; Pseudomonadota; Gammaproteobacteria; Pseudomonadales; Pseudomonadaceae. The record is from RNAcentral.